Molecule: ribosomal RNA, 253 nt
Filed under: uncultured bacterium
Lineage: Bacteria
Description: partial 16S ribosomal RNA
Rfam family: Bacterial small subunit ribosomal RNA
Source: RNAcentral
UACGUAGGGGGCAAGCGUUAUCCGGAUUUACUGGGUGUAAAGGGAGCGUAGACGGUGAAGCAAGUCUGAAGUGAAAGGUUGGGGCUCAACCCCGAAACUGCUUUGGAAACUGUUUAACUGGAGUACAGGAGAGGUAAGUGGAAUUCCUAGUGUAGCGGUGAAAUGCGUAGAUAUUAGGAGGAACACCAGUGGCGAAGGCGGCUUACUGGACUGUAACUGACGUUGAGGCUCGAAAGCGUGGGGAGCAAACAGG